Molecule: ribosomal RNA, 1394 nt
Filed under: Kocuria sp. ASB107
Lineage: Bacteria; Bacillati; Actinomycetota; Actinomycetes; Micrococcales; Micrococcaceae
Description: 16S ribosomal RNA
Rfam family: Bacterial small subunit ribosomal RNA
Source: RNAcentral
AGUCGAACGAUGAUGCCCAGCUUGCUGGGCGGAUUAGUGGCGAACGGGUGAGUAAUACGUGAGUAACCUGCCCUUGACUCUGGGAUAAGCCUGGGAAACUGGGUCUAAUACUGGAUACUACCUCUUGCCGCAUGGUGGGUGGUGGAAAGGGUUUUACUGGUUUUGGAUGGGCUCACGGCCUAUCAGCUUGUUGGUGGGGUAAUGGCUCACCAAGGCGACGACGGGUAGCCGGCCUGAGAGGGUGACCGGCCACACUGGGACUGAGACACGGCCCAGACUCCUACGGGAGGCAGCAGUGGGGAAUAUUGCACAAUGGGCGGAAGCCUGAUGCAGCGACGCCGCGUGAGGGAUGACGGCCUUCGGGUUGUAAACCUCUUUCAGUAGGGAAGAAGCGAGAGUGACGGUACCUGCAGAAGAAGCGCCGGCUAACUACGUGCCAGCAGCCGCGGUAAUACGUAGGGCGCAAGCGUUGUCCGGAAUUAUUGGGCGUAAAGAGCUCGUAGGCGGUUUGUCGCGUCUGCUGUGAAAGCCCGGGGCUCAACCCCGGGUCUGCAGUGGGUACGGGCAGACUAGAGUGCAGUAGGGGAGACUGGAAUUCCUGGUGUAGCGGUGAAAUGCGCAGAUAUCAGGAGGAACACCGAUGGCGAAGGCAGGUCUCUGGGCUGUUACUGACGCUGAGGAGCGAAAGCAUGGGGAGCGAACAGGAUUAGAUACCCUGGUAGUCCAUGCCGUAAACGUUGGGCACUAGGUGUGGGGGACAUUCCACGUUUUCCGCGCCGUAGCUAACGCAUUAAGUGCCCCGCCUGGGGAGUACGGCCGCAAGGCUAAAACUCAAAGGAAUUGACGGGGGCCCGCACAAGCGGCGGAGCAUGCGGAUUAAUUCGAUGCAACGCGAAGAACCUUACCAAGGCUUGACAUUCACCGGACCGCCCCAGAGAUGGGGUUUCCCUUCGGGGCUGGUGGACAGGUGGUGCAUGGUUGUCGUCAGCUCGUGUCGUGAGAUGUUGGGUUAAGUCCCGCAACGAGCGCAACCCUCGUUCUAUGUUGCCAGCACGUGAUGGUGGGGACUCAUAGGAGACUGCCGGGGUCAACUCGGAGGAAGGUGGGGAUGACGUCAAAUCAUCAUGCCCCUUAUGUCUUGGGCUUCACGCAUGCUACAAUGGCCGGUACAAAGGGUUGCGAUACUGUGAGGUGGAGCUAAUCCCAAAAAGCCGGUCUCAGUUCGGAUUGAGGUCUGCAACUCGACCUCAUGAAGUCGGAGUCGCUAGUAAUCGCAGAUCAGCAACGCUGCGGUGAAUACGUUCCCGGGCCUUGUACACACCGCCCGUCAAGUCACGAAAGUUGGUAACACCCGAAGCCGGUGGCCUAACCCCUUGUGGGAGGGAGCCGUUGAA